RNAcentral lists this unclassified non-coding RNA (301 nucleotides) under uncultured fungus. Its description in RNAcentral is "sequence contains ITS1". The stretch from base 1 to 105 matches the Rfam family "5.8S ribosomal RNA", at positions 50 to 154 of the family's 154-position model. Lineage: Eukaryota; Fungi. The record is from RNAcentral.
GAAAUGCGAUACGUAAUGUGAAUUGCAGAAUUCCGUGAAUCAUCGAAUCUUUGAACGCACAUUGCGCCCGCCAGCAUUCUGGCGGGCAUGCCUGUUCGAGCGUCAUUUCAACCAUCAAGCCCCAGGCUUGCGUUGGAGGCCUGCGGCUGCCGCAGCCUCUGAAAUACAGUGGCGGGCUCGCUAACGCACCGAGCGCAGUAGAUUUCUCCUCGCUCAGGGCGCGCAGCGGGCGCUGGCCGUGAAACCCCCCUAUAUUUUCAAGGUUGACCUCGGAUCAGGUAGGAAUACCCGCUGAACUUAA